Molecule: ribosomal RNA, 425 nt
Filed under: uncultured Comamonadaceae bacterium
Lineage: Bacteria; Pseudomonadati; Pseudomonadota; Betaproteobacteria; Burkholderiales; Comamonadaceae
Description: bacterial SSU rRNA
Rfam family: Bacterial small subunit ribosomal RNA
Source: RNAcentral
GGGGGAUAUUGCACAAUGGGCGCAAGCCUGAUCCAGCAAUGCCGCGUGCAGGAUGAAGGCCUUCGGGUUGUAAACUGCUUUUGUACGGAACGAAAAGCCUCUCUCUAAUACAGGGGGGUGAUGACGGUACCGUAAGAAUAAGCACCGGCUAACUACGUGCCAGCAGCCGCGGUAAUACGUAGGGUGCAAGCGUUAAUCGGAAUUACUGGGCGUAAAGCGUGCGCAGGCGGUUUUGUAAGACAGUGGUGAAAUCCCCGGGCUCAACCUGGAACUGCCAUUGUGACUGCAAGGCUGGAGUGCGGCAGAGGGGGAUGGAAUUCCGCGUGUAGCAGUGAAAUGCAUAGAUAUCACGAGGAACUCCGAUUGCGCAGGCAGCUUACCAAGCCGUAACUGACGCUCAAGCACGAAGGCGUGGGGAUCAAACA